Molecule: ribosomal RNA, 460 nt
Filed under: uncultured bacterium
Lineage: Bacteria
Description: partial 16S ribosomal RNA
Rfam family: Bacterial small subunit ribosomal RNA
Source: RNAcentral
CCUACGGGAGGCAGCAGUGAGGAAUAUUGGUCAAUGGGCGUACGCCUGAACCAGCCAAGUCGCGUGAGGGAAGAAGGCCCUAUGGGUUGUAAACCUCAUGUGUCAGGGAGAAAGUGGCGCUACGUGUAGCGUUAUCGAGAGGACCUGAAGAAAAAGCAGCAGCGAACGCCGUGCCAGCAGCCGCGGGAAUACGGAGGAUGCGAGCGUGAGCCGGAUUUAUUGGGUUUACGGGGUGCGUGGGCGGACUGACAAGUCAGCGGUAAAAUCGCGGGGCUCAACCUCGCUCCGCCGUUGAGGCUGGCGUUCUUGAGUGGGCGAGAGGUAUGCGGAAUGCGUGGUGUAGCGGUGAAAUGCAUAGAUAUCACGCAGAACUCCGAUUGCGAAGGCAGCAUACCGGCGCCCAACUGACGCUGAGGCACGAAAGCGUGGGUAUCGAACAGGAUUAGAUACCCCAGUAGUC